Molecule: long non-coding RNA, 212 nt
Filed under: Elaeis guineensis (African oil palm)
Lineage: Eukaryota; Viridiplantae; Streptophyta; Magnoliopsida; Arecales; Arecaceae
Description: long non-coding RNA (EGUI_LNC052221)
Source: RNAcentral
CGGUGGAGAUAUUGGGGUGAAGGUACAGAUGGUUGUUAGAGAACAACUUGCACUGAGCAUGACCAACACGAGAACCACAGAUGUCUACUCACUCAUUAGUGAUCUUCUCAAUACUACAGUAGUGUGAGUAGUCCUUUGACCUACGGUGCCAUUGGCUAUUCGCAGCGAGGCUACUGGAUUUGACUACAUAUUUUUUUGAUCCCUAGCCAUUC